AUUGAACGCUGGCGGCAGGCCUAACACAUGCAAGUCGAGCGGAUGAGAGGAGCUUGCUUCUUGAUUCAGCGGCGGACGGGUGAGUAAUGCCUAGGAAUCUGCCUGGUAGUGGGGGACAACGUUUCGAAAGGAACGCUAAUACCGCAUACGUCCUACGGGAGAAAGCAGGGGACCUUCGGGCCUUGCGCUAUCAGAUGAGCCUAGGUCGGAUUAGCUAGUUGGUGAGGUAAUGGCUCACCAAGGCGACGAUCCGUAACUGGUCUGAGAGGAUGAUCAGUCACACUGGAACUGAGACACGGUCCAGACUCCUACGGGAGGCAGCAGUGGGGAAUAUUGGACAAUGGGCGAAAGCCUGAUCCAGCCAUGCCGCGUGUGUGAAGAAGGUCUUCGGAUUGUAAAGCGCUUUAAGUUGGGAGGAAGGGUUGUACGUUAAUACCGUGCAAUUUUGACGUUACCGACAGAAUAAGCACCGGCUAUCUCUGUGCCAGCAGCCGCCGUAA
RNAcentral lists this ribosomal RNA (500 nucleotides) under uncultured bacterium. Its description in RNAcentral is "partial 16S ribosomal RNA". It matches the Rfam family "Bacterial small subunit ribosomal RNA", at positions 30 to 523 of the family's 1533-position model. The record is from RNAcentral.